Molecule: ribosomal RNA, 491 nt
Filed under: uncultured Pseudomonadota bacterium
Lineage: Bacteria; Pseudomonadati; Pseudomonadota
Description: bacterial SSU rRNA
Rfam family: Bacterial small subunit ribosomal RNA
Source: RNAcentral
AAGGCCUUCGGGUUGUAAAGCCUUUAGGUUGGGAAGAAGGGUGUGUGGGGAUAAUCCAUGCACUUUGACUGUACCGACAGAAUAAGCACCGGCAAACUCUGUGCCAGCAGCCGCGGUAAUACAGAGGGUGCGAGCGUUAAUCGGAGUUACUGGGCGUAAAGGGCGCGUAGGCGGUGGAAUGUGAGUGAUGUGAAAGCCCUGGGCUUAACCUAGGAAGCGCAUCGCAGACUAUUCUGCUGGAGUAGAUGAGAGGGUGAUGGAAUUUCCGGUGUAGCGGUGAAAUGCGUAGAGAUCGGAAGGAACGUCGAUGGCGAAGGCAGUCACCUGGCAUCAUACUGACGCUGAAGCGCGAAAGCGUGGGGAUCGAACAGGAUUAGAUACCCUGGUAGUCCACGCUGUAAACGAUGAGGACUAGAUGUUUGUAGGGGAACCUAUGAGUAUCGAAGCUAACGCGAUAAGUCUUCCGCCUGGGAAGUACGGCCGCAAGGUUG